UACGUAGGGUGCGAGCGUUAAUCGGAAUUACUGGGCGUAAAGCGUGCGCAGGCGGUGAGUCAAGUCUGAUGUGAAAGCCCCGGGCUCAACCUGGGAAUGGCAUGGGAAACUGUCUCGCUGGAGUGUGGCAGAGGGGGGUGGAAUUCCGCGUGUAGCAGUGAAAUGCGUAGAGAUGUGGAGGAACACCGGUGGCGAAGGCAGCCCCCUGGGCUAACACUGACGCUCAGGCACGAAAGCCAGGGGAGCAAACGGG
Molecule: ribosomal RNA, 253 nt
Filed under: uncultured bacterium
Lineage: Bacteria
Description: partial 16S ribosomal RNA
Rfam family: Bacterial small subunit ribosomal RNA
Source: RNAcentral